UACGAAGGGGGCUAGCGUUGCUCGGAAUCACUGGGCGUAAAGCGCACGUAGGCGGCUUCUUAAGUCAGGGGUGAAAUCCUGGAGCUCAACUCCAGAACUGCCUUUGAUACUGAGGAGCUUGAGUCCGGGAGAGGUGAGUGGAACUGCGAGUGUAGAGGUGAAAUUCGUAGAUAUUCGCAAGAACACCAGAGGCGAAGGCGGCUCACUGGCCCGGUACUGACGCUGAGGUGCGAAAGCGUGGGGAGCAAACAGG
Molecule: ribosomal RNA, 253 nt
Filed under: uncultured bacterium
Lineage: Bacteria
Description: partial 16S ribosomal RNA
Rfam family: Bacterial small subunit ribosomal RNA
Source: RNAcentral